ACAGAGUAACCAAUUUGUAACAAUCGUGUAAAUGCAGGGGUUUACUGGUAGGUGCUCAACUUUGCAGUUUACACUGACUCAGUUUGCAUUCCCGAGGUCAAAAAUGUCAGAAAAUUAUUCACAUAUUGGCCGCUCCUCAGUAUAAGCUGCAUUUCCGGUGUGGGAGCAAAAUUUUGGUCAAAACGGUGCGGCUUGUAUUCAUGAAAUUACCGUAGCUUAAUGCAGCUCCUCCUCAGCUGGAGGGCUCAUCUGACCCACAGCACCCGAAGAUGAUGAUGCCUUGUACAUGUUUUACUCACUUCUCUCCCUGAUGCUGGCUACUCCAGUACUCAGUUUUGGAAAGUGCUGGUGUGGCCCCUUUUUUCUGCAGUCCAGCAGUUAAGAGAUGUUCCAAUUGAACCAUCCAAUGCAUUUCUUCAUCCGUUUCUCUUUUUUGCAUUGUCAGAGUGGGUGAUGAAGAAUGGUGCCUCUGAUGUACAGAAGGUGUUGGUUAUUCCGUGCUGGGGUCUUGAGUCCCCCUUUUGCAGGUAGUCCUAAACGUCAGGGUUUCCAAAAGUGACAUUUCCAAUCCCAUCAUAACUACAGAAAUGCUGGAAGAAAACAGCAUGUAUUAUUCCCCAAACUGGAGACUGGUGAAGAAGGAAAGGUUUCAAGUAAACUUUUGCCCAUUGCUGUCUUUGCUAGUUGAAUUGUGACUAAUUUUGUUUGAGAAGGGCUUUUUCCAGCAGAACAGGCCAAAACCCUGUUAAGUGUCAACAGCAAAUAAUUUCUCAUUGCACUCACUUUCUGAAGAUCUUGGUGUAGGUGUACAGCCCUCCCAUGUCACAAAUGCUGGCUACUUUGGGACAGCUGCAUAAUGAAAAGCAAAUAAAUUGUUUGCAUUUCAGUAGCAGCAAAAAUUCAACAGGUACUCCAAUCAGGCUCCACAUUCUGCUUUGGAGCAGCAGUUUUCACCCAAUCCUGCUAUCUCCUGCCCGUUCCCACAGCUUCACACUCCACACUUUCACACUUCAGAAAAAAAAAACAAAAACAAAAACAAAAACCACUUUUCUGGUACCAAGGCAUCCCUGUGGCAGCAGAGGACUUGGGUCUUCCCCAAUCUUUAGUACUCUGGAUGAGCAUGUGGCUCUGCCACUCUCCCUGUCUAUGUCAGGAAUUAAGCUCAGCUUCACCCUUGCCAGGGUGGGGGAAGAAAAGCUUUAGAGAAUGUGGCAAGGAAGCAGCAAGUUGGAGGACACACACACAGAAAUCACCAUCACCUCCCCAGCUCUCUGCUAACCUGGUGUUUCAGGCCAGCUCCAGCUAUUGCUGCCAUGGGUGUUAGUAUGGGAAGGAGUGGAGGCAGGAAGAUGGAAAGGGAAAUGCCAGCAAGGAGUGAAGUUCAGCUGGCUUGCAGGGUGUUACCCUGUCCAAGGAAGGAAGAGUAGGGGAAUUCCCAACUCAGCAAUAGUCACUGUCAAAUUGAGGUAGAAGGAGAAAAGGGCUGGGCACAGCAAUUUUACCUUUCCAUGGCCAAGAACCAAGUGCUUUCUAAGUCAUCUGUGUCGUAAGUUAUUAGUCACCAUCACUUCCUAGCCACAUAAACUCAUCCCAUUUGAUUUUACACCUCCUAACAGGUUCCCGGGCCACUUGGAUGCAAGCUUCCCAUCAGUCUCACGAGAGGAGAGGCGAUUCAGAAAGCACCACCGCAGCAGGACUUAGGAAGAUGUGGAUGCUUCAGCUUCACUGCAAUUCCCUGAUCUCCAGAGCUGGAUACACAACUCAGAUGAUUCUUUAGCUUGCUGUCCUGUGAAAUGGGUUUUAUUUAUAGGAAGGCAUAGAAAUGCAGCUAAGGCAGCUCUGACAAACUAAAACAAAGAAUUUGUCUCUUUUUUGACAUAUGCAUGAGGCUUUUGAAUACAUCCUGAAGAGUUUGCGACCAUAAACAUUUAUGCAAGAAGAAAAUGAUGGUAGCAGAAACCUACUGAAUUUAUAAAAAAAGUGACUGGUACACUACAUGCUGGGGGAAUGCUCAUGCCAUGGGGCUACCAUUAAUUUAAAAAGAGAAUCCUGACCGUGCUUACAGAGGAAAAUCAGCACUUUUCUGCUGUCUCGCUGUGUUGAGGAACUGCAUCAGGGACAAGCAGUGUUUCAAAGGGGCCUGGCUACCAGAAAAUGGUGGUGAAAAUGAACACAAGUUUUCAGAGCGCUGCAAUCACCUCCAGCUCAAACUCAGCUCAAGAAGGAAGAGAAACAGUGAUCCACUGGCACAGAUAAACUCUGGCUUGCACGCUGUCCUCCAGGAGAGCUAAGUCUGAGAACAAGUCACCACAAACCCACAAGAAGAGCCACGCCCAUUUCAUAACCUGUAAUUUUUAAAUAUAACAUUUUAUUGCUUAGAUGGUUUGAUACAGAACAAGUUUUACUUUUUAUUUUGGAUUUGGAAGUACUGUACAACUGAAAAAAAAGAGGAAUAAAAGUACCAAAACAA
Long non-coding RNA from Catharus ustulatus (Swainson's thrush), 2470 nucleotides. RefSeq lists it as uncharacterized. The transcript has 2 exons. Lineage: Eukaryota; Metazoa; Chordata; Aves; Passeriformes; Turdidae. The record is from RefSeq and is a predicted model, not a curated record.